AUUGAACGCUGGCGGCAGGCCUAACACAUGCAAGUCGAGCGGAUGAAGGGAGCUUGCUCCUGGAUUCAGCGGCGGACGGGUGAGUAAUGCCUAGGAAUCUGCCUGGUAGUGGGGGAUAACGUCCGGAAACGGGCGCUAAUACCGCAUACGUCAUGAGGGAGAAAGUGGGGGAUCUUCGGACAUCAAGCUAUCAGAUGAGACUAGGUCGGAUUAGCUAGUUGGUGGGGUAAAGGCCUACCAAGGCGACGAUCCGUAACUGGUCUGAGAGGAUGAUCAGUCACACUGGAACUGAGACACGGUCCAGACUCCUACGGGAGGCAGCAGUGGGGAAUCUUCGGCAAUGGGCGAAAGCCUGAUCCAGCCAUGCCGCGUGUGUGAAGAAGGUCUUCGGAUUGUAAAGCUCUUUUAGUUGGGAGGAAGGGCAGUAAGUUAAUACCUUGCUGUUUUGACGUUACCAACAGAAUAAGCCCCGGCUAACUUCGUG
Molecule: ribosomal RNA, 484 nt
Filed under: uncultured bacterium
Lineage: Bacteria
Description: partial 16S ribosomal RNA
Rfam family: Bacterial small subunit ribosomal RNA
Source: RNAcentral